Molecule: non-coding RNA, 29 nt
Filed under: Bombyx mori (domestic silkworm)
Lineage: Eukaryota; Metazoa; Arthropoda; Insecta; Lepidoptera; Bombycidae
Source: RNAcentral
UAUCUCGAUCUGACCUGAUGAGUGUGGGC